Molecule: ribosomal RNA, 163 nt
Filed under: Linnaea borealis
Lineage: Eukaryota; Viridiplantae; Streptophyta; Magnoliopsida; Dipsacales; Caprifoliaceae
Description: 5.8S ribosomal RNA
Rfam family: 5.8S ribosomal RNA
About the family: 5.8S ribosomal RNA (5.8S rRNA) is a component of the large subunit of the eukaryotic ribosome. It is transcribed by RNA polymerase I as part of the 45S precursor that also contains 18S and 28S rRNA.
Source: RNAcentral
CAAACGACUCUCGGCACGGAUAUCUUGGCUCUCGCAUCGAUGAAGAACGUAGCGAAAUGCGGAACUUGGUGUGAAUUGCAGAAUCCCGUGAACCAUCGAGUCUUUGAACGCAAGUUGCGCCCGAAGCCAUUAGGCCGAGGGCACGUCUGCCUGGGCGUCACGC